AACGAACGCUGGCGGCAUGCCUAACACAUGCAAGUCGAACGAGACCUUCGGGUCUAGUGGCGCACGGGUGCGUAACGCGUGGGAACCUGCCUUUAGGUUCGGAAUAACUCAGAGAAAUUUGAGCUAAUACCGGAUGAUGUCUUCGGACCAAAGAUUUAUCGCCUUUAGAUGGGCCCGCGUAAGAUUAGCUAGUUGGUGGGGUAAAGCCUACCAAGGCGACGAUCUUUAGCUGGUCUGAGAGGAUGAUCAGCCACACUGGGACUGAGACACGGCCCAGACUCCUACGGGAGGCAGCAGUGGGGAAUAUUGGACAAUGGGCGAAAGCCUGAUCCAGCAAUGCCGCGUGAGUGAUGAAGGCCUUAGGGUUGUAAAGCUCUUUUACCCGAGAUGAUAAUGACAGUAUCGGGAGAAU
Molecule: ribosomal RNA, 412 nt
Filed under: uncultured bacterium
Lineage: Bacteria
Description: bacterial SSU rRNA
Rfam family: Bacterial small subunit ribosomal RNA
Source: RNAcentral